RNAcentral lists this ribosomal RNA (1676 nucleotides) under Eurycope producta. RNAcentral describes it as "SSU rRNA". It matches the Rfam family "Eukaryotic small subunit ribosomal RNA", at positions 416 to 1764 of the family's 1831-position model. Lineage: Eukaryota; Metazoa; Arthropoda; Malacostraca; Isopoda; Munnopsidae. The record is from RNAcentral.
CUAAGGAAGGCAGCAGGCACGCAAAUUACCCACUCCCAGCCCGGGGAGGUAGUGACGAAAAAUAACGAUGCGAGACUCUUCCGAGGCCUCGCAAUCGGAAUGAGUUCAUUUUAAAACUUUGGACGAGGAUCCAUUGGAGGGCAAGUCUGGUGCCAGCAGCCGCGGUAAUUCCAGCUCCAAUAGCGUAUAUUAAAGUUGCUGCGGUUAAAAAGCUCGUAGUUGGAUCUCCUAGAUCCAUUUUAGUGAUCGAGUCGCUCGUUGAGCUAGCGUCCUUCGUCUAGUCGCCGGACUUGUGGAGUCGGGAUUCCCCUCUCGCGUCGAUCCGUUUCUCCGCUUCGGUGGAGCGAGCGGCGGCGAGGGUUGGGGGCCUCUCCUAUUUCGGUGGACGGUCGGUCGUUGUCUUCGAGUAUCGCUCUUUCGCUUGUGGUACAAUUAAAAAUUUGUCGGCUCGCUCGGAGUGCUCUUUACCGAGUGUUCCAGGGUGGCCGACACGUUCACUUUGAAAAAAUUAGAGUGCUUAAAGCGGGCGCAUACGCUGCCUGAAUGUCUGUGCAUGGAAUGAAGUAACAGGACCUCGAUUCUGUUGUUUUUGUCGGUUUUAUUGAACCGAGGUAAUGAUUAAAAGGGACAGACGGUGGCAUUAGUAUUGCGGCGCUAGAGGUGAAAUUCUUGGACCGCUGCAAGACUAACUACUGCGAAAGCAUUUGCCGAGAAUGUUUUCAUUAAUCAAGAACGAAAGUUAGAGGAUCGAAGGCGAUCAGAUACCGCCCUAGUUCUAACCCUAAACUAUGCUAACUAGCGAUCCGCCGGAGUCAUUCCCACGACCCGGCGGGAAGCCCCAGGGAAACCAAAGUUUUUGAGUUCCGGGGGAAGUAUGGUUGCAAAGCUGAAACUUAAAGGAAUUGACGGAAGGGCACCACCAGGAGUGGAGCCUGCGGCUUAAUUUGACUCAACACGGGAAACCUCACCAGGCCCGGACAUCAUAAGGAUUGACAGGUUGAGAGCUCUUUCUCGAUUUGAUGGGUGGUGGUGCAUGGCCGUUCUUAGUUGGUGGAGUGAUCUGUCUGGUUGAUUCCGAUAACGAACGAGACUCUACCCUACUAACUAGUCGGCGGAUCGUAACCCUGAGAUGGUUAGUUUGUAUAGGUUGGUUUGUCCGAGUCGCGAGCGGUAGCUUUUGUUGCGUUAGUGUUAAGGGUUCUUCAGACGUGCUUUCGCGGUGCGCCUGGCCUCUUUCUCUAUCGUGUCGGGUUAUUUAGCGAGCGGCGAAGCUUCCUUCUGAUUACUGCUACUGCUGGGGGCGUCCGUCGCAAUGCAUCUUCUUAGAGGGAUCAGCGGCGUAUAGCCGCACGAGAAAGAGCAAUAACAGGUCUGUGAUGCCCUUAGAUGUUCUGGGCCGCACGCGCGCUACAAUGUAGAGAUCAGCGUGCUUUCCCCUUCCGAAAGGAACGGGUAACCCGUUGAAACCCCUACCCGAUUGGGAUUGGGGAUUGCAAAUAUUUCCCAUAAACGAGGAAUUCCCAGUAAGCGCGAGUCAUUAACUCGCGCUGAUUACGUCCCUGCCCUUUGUACACACCGCCCGUCGCUACUACCGAUUGAAUGAUUCAGUGAGGGCAUCGGACUGGCGCCUUCGGUUUAGUAACAUAGACCUUAGGCUGACGGAAAGAUGUCCGAAC